Molecule: ribosomal RNA, 204 nt
Filed under: Clostridioides difficile
Lineage: Bacteria; Bacillati; Bacillota; Clostridia; Peptostreptococcales; Peptostreptococcaceae
Description: partial 23S ribosomal RNA
Rfam family: Bacterial large subunit ribosomal RNA
Source: RNAcentral
CGUUGAAAAGCUCGGGGAUGACUUGUGGGUAGCGGUGAAAUUCCAAUCGAGCCCGGAGAUAGCUGGUUCUCCCCGAAAUAGCUUUAGGGCUAGCCUCAAGGGGAGAGAUACGGAGGUAGAGCACUGAAUGUCCUAGGGGGUAUUGCACCUACCGAAGACUAUCAAACUCCGAAUGCCGUCAUCUUAUACUUGGGAGUCAGACUG